Molecule: ribosomal RNA, 710 nt
Filed under: uncultured Actinomycetes bacterium
Lineage: Bacteria; Bacillati; Actinomycetota; Actinomycetes
Description: bacterial SSU rRNA
Rfam family: Bacterial small subunit ribosomal RNA
Source: RNAcentral
AAUCUGCCUUCAACUCUGGGAUAACUCCGGGAAACCGGGGCUAAUACCGGAUAUGAGCCUUGAUCGCAUGAUCGGGGCUGGAAAGUUUUUCGGUUGAAGAUGACUUCGCGGCCUAUCAGCUUGUUGGUGAGGUAAUGGCUCACCAAGGCGACGACGGGUAGCCGGCCUGAGAGGGCGACCGGCCACACUGGGACUGAGACACGGCCCAGACUCCUACGGGAGGCAGCAGUGGGGAAUAUUGGGCAAUGGAGGAAACUCUGACCCAGCGACGCCGCGUGAGGGAUGAAGGCCUUCGGGUUGUAAACCUCUUUCAGUAGGGAAGAAGCGAAAGUGACGGUACCUACAGAAGAAGCACCGGCUAACUAUGUGCCAGCAGCCGCGGUAAUACAUAGGGUGCAAGCGUUGUCCGGAAUUAUUGGGCGUAAAGAGCUCGUAGGUGGUUCGAUACGUCGGAUGUGAAAAUCAGGGGCUCAACCCCUGACCUGCAUCCGAUACGGUCGAGCUAGAGUUUGGUAGGGGAGACUGGAAUUCCUGGUGUAGCGGUGGAAUGCGCAGAUAUCAGGAGGAACACCGAUGGCGAAGGCAGGUCUCUGGGCCAAUACUGACACUGAGGAGCGAAAGCGUGGGGAGCGAACAGGAUUAGAUACCCUGGUAGUCCACGCCGUAAAACGGUGGGCGCUAGUUGUGCGAACCUUCCACGGUUUGUGCGA